Molecule: transfer-messenger RNA, 364 nt
Filed under: Paenibacillus sp. P26
Lineage: Bacteria; Bacillati; Bacillota; Bacilli; Caryophanales; Paenibacillaceae
Also listed under: 1 other name
Rfam family: transfer-messenger RNA
About the family: Bacterial tmRNA, also known as 10Sa RNA or SsrA, is named for its dual tRNA and mRNA-like properties. Its role is to liberate the mRNA from a stalled ribosome.
Source: RNAcentral
GGGGACGUUCUUGGAUUCGACGGGGAUAGUUCGAGCAUAGGUAGCGGGUAGUGGGGAGCGUCCGCUUUAUCAACGCUACAGCCAAUUAAAUGGCAAACAACAACAACCUGCUCUUUUAGCGACUUAAUAACCUGCUAGAGCGCUCCUACUCUGCAUCGCCCAUGUGCCGGGAUAGGGGCUCAACCUUCAGUGGGAUACGCUGUCUAGUCUCCGCCUGCGGCUAGCUGAAGAAGACAACCAGGCUGACCCAACGCAGAGCCGGUUACGGGGCGCCGCUCGGGUGACAUCAAAACUGUGACUACACCCGUAGAAGCUUAUGUGGCGUUAUCUUCGGACAGGGGUUCGACUCCCCUCGUCUCCAUAC